AACGAACGCUGGCGGCAGGCCUAAUACAUGCAAGUCGAACGCUCCGCAAGGGGAGUGGCGCACGGGAGAGUAACGCGUGGGAACCUACCUAUUGGUUCGGGACAACACCGGGAAACUGGUGCUAAUACCGGAUAAGCCCGAGAGGGGAAAGAUUUAUCGCCGAUAGAUGGGCCCGCGUUAGAUUAGCUAGUUGGUGAGGUAACGGCUCACCAAGGCGACGAUCUAUAGCUGGUCUGAGAGGAUGAUCAGCCUCACUGGGACUGAGACACGGCCCAGACUCCUACGGGAGGCAGCAGUAGGGAAUAUUGGACAAUGGGGGCAACCCUGAUCCAGCCAUGCCGCGUGAAUGAUGAAGGCC
RNAcentral lists this ribosomal RNA (358 nucleotides) under uncultured bacterium. Its description in RNAcentral is "bacterial SSU rRNA". It matches the Rfam family "Bacterial small subunit ribosomal RNA", at positions 29 to 416 of the family's 1533-position model. The record is from RNAcentral.